AAUCGCAGUGCUUCAUUCCGUGUUCUAAACCAUUGUCAACAUCACCACUUCAUUGGUUCUAUUCAAGAAAACUAAGAUGGUGAGUGUAUCUGAGAUCCGACAGGCUCAAAGGGCAGAAGGUCCAGCAACCAUCCUUGCCAUUGGAACUGCAACCCCAUCUAACUGUGUUGAUCAGAGCACAUAUCCCGAUUACUACUUCAGAAUCACAAACAGUGAGCACAUGACCGACCUCAAAGAGAAGUUUCAGCGCAUGUGUAAGUCCUCUCAUCUUCUCAUAUCUACCAAAAUCCUAAAUUUAACAAGUUUAUGAUGUUGAAUGAAGGUGAUUAACAUUGAUAUUGGUUUACAAUGUUUCAGGUGACAAGUCGAUGAUAAAGAAGAGAUAUAUGCAUUUGAACGAGGAGAUACUGAAGGAGAAUCCUAACAUGUGUGCUUACAUGGCACCUUCUUUGGAUGCGAGGCAAGACAUAGUGGUGGUAGAGGUACCAAAGUUAGGGAAAGAGGCUGCAGUGAAGGCCAUAAAGGAGUGGGGACAGCCAAAGUCAAAGAUUACACACUUGAUAUUUUGCACCACCAGUGGUGUCGACAUGCCUGGUGCUGAUUACCAGCUCACCAAACUCUUGGGACUUCGGCCCUAUGUGAAGAGGUACAUGAUGUACCAACAAGGAUGCUUUGCAGGAGGCACGGUUCUUCGAUUGGCCAAGGAUUUGGCUGAGAACAACAAAGGUGCCCGUGUGCUUGUGGUGUGUUCUGAGAUCACUGCAGUGACUUUCCGUGGGCCAAGUGACACCCACCUAGACAGUCUUGUGGGACAGGCAUUGUUUGGAGAUGGAGCAGCUGCAGUGAUUGUUGGUUCUGACCCAAUUCCACAGAUUGAGAAGCCUUUGUUUGAGUUGGUUUGGACUGCACAGACCAUUGCUCCAGACAGUGAUGGUGCUAUUGAUGGUCACCUUCGUGAAGUUGGACUCACGUUUCACCUCCUUAAGGAUGUUCCUGGGAUUGUCUCAAAGAACAUUGGAAAGGCACUUUUUGAGGCCUUCAACCCAUUGAACAUAUCUGAUUACAACUCCAUCUUCUGGAUUGCACACCCUGGUGGACCUGCAAUUCUGGACCAAGUUGAGCAAAAGUUGGGUCUGAAACCUGAAAAGAUGAAGGCCACUAGAGAUGUGCUGAGUGAUUAUGGGAACAUGUCAAGUGCAUGUGUGCUAUUCAUCUUGGAUGAGAUGAGGAGGAAAUCAGCUGAAAAGGGACUUAAAACAACAGGUGAAGGACUUGAAUGGGGUGUUUUGUUUGGUUUUGGACCUGGACUUACCAUCGAGACCGUCGUUCUCCACAGUGUCGCAAUAUAACACCCACACCAUUCCCUACCCUAUUGUUUCUGCAUUGAGAUUUUAUUUUUGAUUUUUUUAUGUAUUUGUUGAAAAUUUUAUUUAUAAUAUAAUAAUUAUAAGAAUUAAAAAUGUAUAAUUUUGAUUUUAUUGAUUCCAAAAUUAAUUGUGCAAAAAAUAGAAAGCAUUUUCCAAAUACUUUGCCUUUUUAUUACUUUACAUUUUUUUUUUGCAUGAAUCUUUUACCUGUCUAAUAUGAAAUAAUAAAUUAUCAUUGACAUGAAAUAAAUACUACAAUAAAUUGUCGAGAUUUUUUUAUUUUGGAAAUGACGUAAAUUUAGGGAAAUGCUUGAUAGUGGUAGUUUUCUAGCAAAAUUGAAAAGAAUAAUAAAAAAUUGAUAUCAAAUAUAUAUAAUUUGAAAGCGAUUCUAUAUAUUUAAAAAUAAUACAAAUUAGAAUGAAAAAGUGUGAUGGUGGUAGUUUUUUAACAAAAUUGAAAAGCAUAAUAAAAAGUUGUUAUAAACUGUAUUUUUCUAUUCAUUUAAUUUACAAAAGUUAAAAUUGGAAUGAAAGUGAAAAACUGGAUCGUGAAUACAACAAAACAAAGAUGAGAAAACUUGUCUGGAAUAUGUGUUAAUAUAUAAAAUUAUAAUAGAAUUUCAAUUAUAAGUUUGUAAUUGCAUCACAUGGUUAUGGAAACAUGUUCAUAGAAAACCGUGUUAGAAAUUUAUUAAUAAGAUUUACACUGAGUUUCUAAAUUUGUAGAUAAUGUUGUUAAGAAGUGAGUUUUAAGCCUAACUCAACUUCGUAAAACUGGCUUAUAAGGUGAGGUUUGCACCCACUUAUAAAGAAUGAAAUAUCUUAAUUUAUAGUUGAUGUGAGAUCUCCAACACACCCCUCACAUGUGUGAAGAUAUAUGUUAUAGGUGGUCCGAUAACGGUCCGAUAGCGGGUGACACAAUAGGCCCAACAAACACUCACUAUGAUAGGUUUUUAAAUGGCUCUGAUACCAUGUUAAGAAGUGGACUUUAAGCCUAACACAACCUCAUGAAACAAGUUCAUAAGGUGAGCUUUGCACCCAAUUAUAAAGAAUAGAAAAAACUUUCAAAAUUGAGUGUAAGUUGCACCCAAUUGAGUGUAGAGACAUGCUUAGUGAGAAAAUUGUAUAAAAAAAUUAGCCCAUUAAGAUAGGAUUGAUCCUCAAAGGUGUGGGAGACACGUUGCUUAGAAAUUUCAAUAAAUGUUCACCCAUAACAUUUUGAUUGAGUUCACAUGAGUAAGACGCAAUUAUGUAGAAAAUUACAUCAAAAAAAAUUUCAUAGGGGUGUAAUUAUGCAACAUCAAUGCGAGAACUAUCAAUAAAGUUAUAUUAUGUGUUUGGCGUAUUCUAACUGGGAAAAUUGCAACCUAUGAUAAUCUAUUACAUAGAGGAAUUUAGAGUGGUGGGGGGAUGUGUGUCAUGUGUGGGAUUGAGCUAGAAACAGUAAAUCAUCUUUUCUUUACAUGCAAAGUAGCUUCUAAAGUGUGGUGUAUGUCUGAUGUGUGGGUUGGUAGAGUUUUUGUACAUUGUGAUAAUACUACUCAACAUUUUGAACAUAUUGGCUUUAUGGACCUAAAUUAUGUGGGUAAUUGUGUUUGAAAGUGUAUGUGGACAACCAUUAUUUGGGGAAUUUGGAAUCAUAGAAAUAAGAUUAUUUUUAAUAAUGGAGUGGUAGAUCCUUUUGAAACUUUUGUUAUGGCACAAGUAAAGGUGUGGGACAUGGGUAACUUAUAAAUUCCCAAAAUCAAACUUCUCUUAUUCUGAUUGGUGCUUUGAUGUAUAUGAAAGUUUGAAAUCACUACAUUGAUGGUUAACUAUCUUCCUCCUCUUUUAUGGUGGGUUCUAUUUUGGAUGAGAACACAUAUUGCUGAGUGUGAUUCAACCUCUGAUACUGGGGAGGAGCAAAGAACCAACAUACCUUUGUGGAGAUGUCAUGCCUUAUAUCCUGGACAUGGGUUAUGUUGUUGCCUUAUUUUUUGUAUUAUAGUAAGCUGGAUAUGUACAAAUUUUGGCUAAGAACUAGGCGUAUUGUACGUGGAUUGGAGUACCCAAGUAUUCUCAUUUAUAUUAUUUUUUAUUGUUAAUUAAAACAAAAGUGUUUAGAUCUAACAAUUGAGACACCAAAUCAUUGAAAAAACACAAUUUUUAUGAUAAAAAAUUCUUUGCAUAAGAGCGAAGAUUUAUGCAAAUUAUAGUCAUUUUUUUAUGCAAAUUGUAGUCAUAAUAAAUUAUAUUCUUAUUCAUAACCGAUUAUGUUGGUCUUUCAUAAUCGAUACGUCUUGAACAUAAUUGAUUGAUGUUGGUUAAUUUUUUAUUAAUAUUUAUGUUUUUAUUUAUUAUAAUAAAAUAAAUAAAUAAUAUAAUAUUAUUAAAAUUAAAAAUUAAAAAAAUCAAUCAUAUCUGCAACUUUAUACUCAAAUAUAUUUAUUUUUCUUUAAUCCAAACCACCUAUUUUUUUAUUGUUUUUCUCAUCAUUUUGUUUCUUUCUCCACUUCCAAUCAAAACAAAUUGUGUUUAGAUUAAGAAAAGGAUGAAAAAGGUAAAAAAAAAAAAGGAUAAAAAGAGUGAGGAAAGUGAGAUUGUAGAUCGAGUGAAAGUGAGUAAAUUUUUUUUAAAGAUUUGAUUGUGAUAGAAUAAAUUUAUUGUGUAUAAAUGCAUAUAGAAAAUAGUUUAUGGAAUCAAUUUUUAAAAAAUUGAAUGUAAAAAAUAAACUUCUUUGAAUUUGUAAAUUAAAGUCAAAAUAAAUUUUAAAUUACACUAUAAGCAAAGCAUAAAACCUAAAAAACCACUUAUACUUUGGAAAAGAUUAUUUCAUGUUUGAUUCUAUCAUUCGUACUUAAGACUCAAAAGUGAUUCUUCCUCAACCAAUUCUACUUGCACAUCUUCAUCUGUCACUUGGUUAAAGAUAAAAUUAAUUAUUAUAUUCACUAAAUUAUAUAUUAUUUCAAAGACUAAAAACUUUAUUAGUAUCUAAAAUAAUUGAUAUUAUUAAUAAAUAAUUUUUAAAUUAAUAUUUAAUUAGUUAAUAGAAAAAUUUAGGUAACAAAUUUUUAAAAUAUAAAGUACGAAAAAAAUGCAUUAAAAGAAUGUUAUUAAAAAAUAUGAUAUAAAUAGAAGAGCAAACUAGAAAAUGGUAGCUCCAAUAGGUUGACCGUUGAAGAAUGAACUAACCACUUUGAAUUUUAAUUUAAAAUAUUGAGUGGAAAAAUUCUUUUAUGGGUUCAUAGAACUUAAUGCUGCUUGACGAUGACAAACGAAGUAACCAACAGGAGAGAAUAUACAAUAAAAUAAUAUGAAGAAUUAGUGGUCUCUGAUUUUAUUGGGAUUUCAUUGUGACCGUUCGAUUACUUCACCUGCAACCUACCAACACUAUUGCCUCCGGUAUCUUCCUGCGCUACCACCGUUCACUCCAUUAACGUUACAAAAGUGUGUUAAUUAUUUAGGAAAAUAUACUUUACAGCUCUUAAAGUUCUAAACAACUUUUGAUUAAAACUAGUAAAACUAAAUAACAGCAUUAGCAUAAAUUAACCCUGGAUUAAAAAAGUCAACCCACAGCAUCUGUAGUUGAUGGACGGUAGGAGAAUAAUUCAUUCAACAUUUUCACUCCAAAGCCAAGUUCGACGCACACGUGAUAAAAUAUCACCAAUUAUUGGUUGGUCAAUUCAAAGAUAGAUGACGAGUUAACGGAGUUAGAGAUGGUCUUCUAAACCGAACUUCUCAUAUGUCACAAACUACCACAUGGAAACUAUACAACAUGUGCUUUCGACGAAAGGUGGAAAUUGGUCAUACACGUGAUGCUCACCUACUCUUCUUCCUAUCCACCCUCCAUGCAUAUAAAACGCUAACUCCUCCAACAUCUUCAAACACACAACUUCAGCAACCAAACCAACAACCCUCUCUACCAUCGAAAACAUCACCACUUCAUUACUUCUAUUCAAGAAAACUAAGAUGGUGAGUGUAUCCGAGAUCCGCCAGGCUCAAAGGGCAGAAGGCCCAGCAAACAUCCUUGCCAUUGGAACUGCAACCCCAUCAAACUGUGUUGAUCAGAGCACAUCCCGAUUACUACUUCAGAAUCACAAACAGUGAGCACAUGACCGACCUCAAAGAGAAGUUCCAGCGCAUGUGUAAGUCCUCUCAUCUUCUCAUAUCUACAAAAAUCAGAAAUCUAACAAGUUUAUGAUGUUGAAUGAAGAUGAUUAAU
RNAcentral lists this long non-coding RNA (5568 nucleotides) under Phaseolus vulgaris (common bean). Its description in RNAcentral is "long non-coding RNA (PVUL_LNC004320)". The record is from RNAcentral. Lineage: Eukaryota; Viridiplantae; Streptophyta; Magnoliopsida; Fabales; Fabaceae.